RNAcentral lists this transfer RNA (77 nucleotides) under Picrophilus oshimae DSM 9789. Its description in RNAcentral is "tRNA-Lys". The stretch from base 16 to 77 matches the Rfam family "tRNA", at positions 1 to 59 of the family's 71-position model. Rfam says of the family: Transfer RNA (tRNA) molecules are approximately 80 nucleotides in length. Lineage: Archaea; Methanobacteriati; Thermoplasmatota; Thermoplasmata; Thermoplasmatales; Picrophilaceae. The record is from RNAcentral.
UCAUACCUUUCUUGUGGGUCCGUAGCUCAGCUAGGUAGAGCGAUGGACUCUUAAUCCAUCGGUCGGGGGUUCAAAUC